UAAAACGAGAGAGGGGAAAUCCAGCCAGCCAGUCGACAACAUCAGCAGGCACUAGACGUUAUAUUCAGAAUCCUAUCGCCAUAUAGUGAGAGAGAAGCAUCAUCCGAAGUACAAUGUUAUUGCGCUCCUCGCCAUCAUCGUCGUCGUCUUCUGCGGAUUUUGUGUGAUAUUCAAAAUGUCUACCAGUGUGGAGGACUGAAAGAAUGAAAAAACUCUAGCCUUUCUGAAUGGUCGCUGCAUUGCCUUGGCCAAAUUUUGGUGCGUUGUGAAAGGUGGACAAUGAUUCGAAGCCUGUUUUAAGGACGAUCCAACUCAGUUUCGGAGUACGGAUUACAAUCCGAUUUCUACGGGAACCGCUUCCGCCGCGUCCUCCGUCGUUGUCGUGUCGUUUUUGCGUGUGUUCUGUGAAUUUUUUAGGUUUUUCGGUGUGUUCCGUGUGCGUGUGUUAAAGUUUCUUGGUUGACCGGCCAGUGGUCUACGGUGGGCUCGUGAGAAAAGUGCAUUCUUGUGGGAACCAAACCACGAACGGGAUCUAUACGUGGAUUCUUCCGGAAGAGCAGUUUCGAAAGAAGAAAGGUCAAUAAGAGUGCUGCUGUGAAAAUGAGGAGAACCCAUCAAGGCAGAGCCCAUUUUUUAUCGGAAAUUGCGUGAAUUAGUUUCCUGGCAGUAGUCUGUGCAGGAACCGUUUUUUUCCGGCGACUAGAGGCGAAUUUUCAUCCAGGAAUACUUACCCCUUUUGGUGCAUAAUAUUCUUAAUCAUCUGCAAUAGUGUGAGUGUUCCCUGGUGAUGAAUUGAAAUUAUGAGAGGAAUCUAGCUGGUGACCCGUGUUCCGUAACAUUGUUCCGGCCACAGUGAGCCUACCGAAUUAGCAUAAAAUUCAGUGAUAUCUAUGUUGCAACGAGACGGGUGUGUUGUUUGGAGUGAAAAUCGAAUUAGAAUCCCAUGUGUAAGUUGCCUCGUCGAGGAAGCAUGUAAAUACCCGAAGAAGUGAAAAACAAGAAAAAAAAAAUCAAUAUUUACUUCAUCAGAAAGCUGCAGGGAGCGAGUGUCCGCAGCGUGAACGGGAAGUCAGUCUAGAGGGGAAGAGAUCGAGAGGGCCGAAUACAACAAAACAGAGAAGAUUGAGGAGGGAAGAAAAUUCGAAAGAAGAGCGGAGCCAGAGAAGCAAGAAAUCAAACAAGCAGGCAAGCAGGCAUAGAUAAGGGGUAUCUGCGCGAGGAAGAGAGGCAAGGAAUGCGACAAAAGUUCUGUGAUUAAUGAUAGUGAAAGCAGAAUCAGCACAAAGAAAAUUUUCGAGCCCAGCAGGUUCGGUGUUUGUGGUCGGUACACUUGAGUGAGGUUGGAAUUUUGAAUUCGCUCUGAUUGGAAGUCUGGAAGUGUCUGUUAUGCCAGUGCAAGUGUGGUCCGGUGCAAAAUUCCAAUUGAUUUGUGUGAUUGUUUUAUAAUUGCAUGGCCAAGAGAAACUGACCGCACAAGUUUUAAUCCUUCCUGACACUUGUGCUGGUGCGGUGCGAGAUUGCGGAAACGGAAGCUUAAUCCAGCGAGAUUUAUAGAUUACUGAACGUCGGGGGAUCGAAAAGAUUAUCCUACAAUUUCCGAAAGGACUGAUCUGAUGAGCCACAUUCCAUCACUUAUUAAAGUACAUACUCAAAUCGAUAUUUACGAAAGCUAGAUUUUGCUUAUCAAAAAAAAAUAACUACUAGGAUAAGACAAUUUGUAAUUAUACCUUUAACCAUCCGGUUUAACAAGCAUUGGUUUUGACCCACUGGAGAUAUGCACAUUUUUUACUAGAUUGAAAAGUGUGAAACAAAAAUCAGUGAACGUUUUAUAAUGAGGUAAACCAGUAACUAUAGGUAACAGCGUAAAAGUGCAUCUCGUGAACAACUAGUGCGCCACAAAACCAAGAAGAAUUCAAACAAUGACGUGCUAAUUAUCCACGAGCUAUCCAUGGAUACAGUGUGAGUGUGAAACAAGUGGAUUCUACCGUCUGCUGGAGGUGCUUAUUAUAGUAGCAGGGUGUCAAAGUUGCAUCCUCAAGAAGCCUUUGCCAUCAUGUUGUCGUCGACCACUUCACAGCGACCGCAUCAACGGCUUGUAUACCGACAUACCGUUGCAUUCGUUGUUGUAACCGUGUUUGUUGUUGGAAACUUAUGUGCCUGGCAGGAAAAUGUCCGACCGAAGCUCUACGUAUCACUAGCCGAAGAGGAAUACCUGAGGUUUCAGGGAAACGAAUCGAUCAUCGACUACUUCAAGCUCGUUCUACGGGAUGCCACCAGCAACAGUUUGCUGGUGGGUGCAAGAAACAUCGUGUACAAUCUCAGCAUAUACGAUCUCAGCGAGCAGACGCGAUUAGUGUGGUACACAUCGGAGGAUGACAUCAAAAUGUGUGUGAUGAAAGGAAAAGACGAGGAACUUUGUCAGAAUUAUAUUCGCAUUUUGGCACUACCCACACCCGGAACGCUACUCAGCUGUGGCACCAAUGCAUUCCGACCGAUGUGCCGGACGUUUGGCAUCAACGGAAACAGCUACUCAAUCGAAUCGGAGAAGCCAGGUCAAGCCGUGUGCCCCUACGAUCCGGUUCAUAAUUCGACAGCCGUUUUUGUCGAUAACGAACUCUAUUCCGGCACGGUGGCUGAUUUCAGCGGUCUUGACCCAAUUAUCUACCGGGAACCAUUGCAGACCGAGCAGUACGACAGUUUGAGCCUGAAUGCACCCAACUUCGUCGGUUCGUUCACGCAGGGCGACUUUGUCUACUUCUUCUUCCGCGAGACGGCCGUCGAAUUCAUCAACUGUGGCAAGGCCGUCUUCAGCCGCGUGGCACGUGUUUGCAAAUGGGAUAAAGGUGGCCCACAUCGGUUUAAAAAUCGAUGGACUACAUAUCUGAAAUCACGCUUGAAUUGCUCGAUGCCAGGAGAUUUUCCUUUCUACUUCGACGAGAUCCAAUCCACCAGCAGCCUGGUCGAAGGGCGCUAUGGUAACGCCAACUCCAAACUCAUCUACACCGUAUUCACAACAUCAACCAAUGCCAUUGCGGGCUCGGCAAUAUGUACAUUCUCACUACAGGAUAUUGCGGACACGUUUGAAGGUAACUUCAAGGAGCAAAGUGGAUUAAACUCUAAUUGGCUACCUGUUAACCCGUCAAAGGUUCCGGAUCCACGCCCCGGCUCAUGCCACAACGAUUCGCGAACACUGCCGGAUUUAACACUCAACUUCAAAAAGACGCACUCACUGAUGGAUGAAAAUGUGCCAACAUUUUUCGGUUCGCCGAUUUUGACCCGAGUCAGCUCGGUCUAUCGAUUCACUGCCAUUGCCGUUGAUCCGCAAAUUAAAACUCCCGGUGGGAAAACGUAUGAUGUGAUUUUCGUCGGUACAGACCAUGGUAAAAUCAUAAAAACAGUGAACGCAGAAUCAGCUGACUCGAACAAGAAGGUUUCCUCGGUCGUCAUUGAGGAAAUUGAUGCUCUUCCAACUAGUGAACCGGUGCGAAGUUUGGAAAUCGUGAGAACCAUGCAAUACGACACGCCAAAGGACGGAAGUUAUGAUGAUGGAAAAUUAAUUAUAGUCACCGAUACAACCGUGAUAGCGAUUAAAUUACACCGCUGCAGCAGCGAAAAGAUAACAAGUUGCAGCGAAUGCGUGGCGCUGCAGGAUCCGUACUGUGCCUGGGACAAGAUUGCGGGCAAAUGUCGAUCGCACGGGGCUCCACGUUGGUCGGAGGAUAACUACUACUAUCAAAACGUUGCCAUUGGAGAUCACACGGCAUGUCCUAAGAUUUCCAAGGCUGUCAAGGUGGAGAAGGAAGGAUACAGAGACGAUUACGAUCCUCAACGACCCAAUAAGCAUCAGCCGGACAACGACAUGAUCAGCAUAAUGCAGGACAAAAGUGGUUACGAUGACAAAGGGCCACAAAUAACACCUGAUUUGAUAAAUGCUCAAUAUACGGUGGAAACACUUGUAAUGGCCGUGCUAGCAGGUGCAAUUUUCGCCCUAUUGGUGGGAUUCAUCACCGGUUAUUUUUGUGGCCGACGGUGUCACAAGGACGAAGAUGAUAAUCUACCAUAUCCCGAUACGGAAUACGAAUACUUUGAGCAGCGACAAAAUGUCAAUCGGAUACAAACCGAACCGAAGCUCCUUCCACAGGUCGAAGAAGUGACCUACGCCGAACCCGUACUAUUACCUCAGCCAUCUAGUCAGAAUAAGAUGCAGCAAUCGCCAAAAAAUACGUUAAGGAAACCGAUGGGUCACCACCACGGUGUAAACUCGGAAACGCUUUUCCAGUUCCAGCCAGAUGGCUACAGCGCUCGUGAUAACUACCGAGGUCGCGACAACUUCGGUACCCUCCGAUCCCACCAAGGUGAUAAUUAUCGUCGCGGUGACGGAUUCUCAACAACGAGAAGUGUGAAAAAAGUGUAUCUCUGAGACGGGAACGGGGCGGCUGAGACCAGCCAGGGACUGAUUAAUCAAAAUAUGCAUUUUUAUAUAGGUCCUUAAUACCAACACUCGUAACAGAAGUCUCGGCCGAAUGAAAAGGCAGCCGCCCCGGCAUGGCAUAGUAACGCAACAUCGUUCCGAUAGUCCACAGAAUUCCAGUUCCGGAUCUUCCCCAGUCAUGUCCAAUAGUAGUUCUAGUCCG
Molecule: RNA transcript, 4634 nt
Organism: Ochlerotatus camptorhynchus
Lineage: Eukaryota; Metazoa; Arthropoda; Insecta; Diptera; Culicidae
Gene: Sema1a
Gene name: semaphorin 1a
Exons: 22
Source: RefSeq, a predicted model, not a curated record